UAGGACUUAGGUUAUAAACCUAUUAACCUUUAAGGUUAUAAAGAAAAUAGUACUAAUAUUUUAGGCCUUA
Molecule: transfer RNA, 70 nt
Filed under: Pentaspinula unispinula
Lineage: Eukaryota; Metazoa; Arthropoda; Insecta; Orthoptera; Eumastacidae
Description: tRNA-Trp
Source: RNAcentral